This 258-nucleotide ribosomal RNA is filed under the name uncultured bacterium. Its description in RNAcentral is "partial 16S ribosomal RNA". It matches the Rfam family "Bacterial small subunit ribosomal RNA", at positions 524 to 781 of the family's 1533-position model. The record is from RNAcentral.
GACGAACCGUACGAACGUUAUUCGGAAUCACUGGGCUUAAAGGGUGCGUAGGCGGCGCUGAAAGUUGGGUGUGAAAGCCCUCGGCUUAACCGAGGAAUUGCGCCCAAAACUGCAGUGCUUGAGGGAGAUAGAGGUGAGUGGAACUUAGGGUGGAGCGGUGAAAUGCGUUGAUAUCCUAAGGAACACCAGUGGCGAAAGCGACUCACUGGGUCUUCUCUGACGCUGAGGCACGAAAGCUAGGGUAGCGAACGGGAUUAG